AUUUUUAUAGUGUAAAAUAAACACAUUACAUUUUCACUGUAAAGCCGAAUUUAAUUAAUUCUAAAAACG
This 69-nucleotide transfer RNA is filed under the name Chionoecetes japonicus. Its description in RNAcentral is "tRNA-Glu". It matches the Rfam family "tRNA". Rfam says of the family: Transfer RNA (tRNA) molecules are approximately 80 nucleotides in length. Their secondary structure includes four short double-helical elements and three loops (D, anti-codon, and T loops). The record is from RNAcentral. Lineage: Eukaryota; Metazoa; Arthropoda; Malacostraca; Decapoda; Majidae. RNAcentral also lists the same sequence under 1 other name.